AGGACGAACGCUGGCGGCGUGCUUAACACAUGCAAGUCGAGCGGAAAGGCCCUUCGGGGUACUCGAGCGGCGAACGGGUGAGUAACACGUGAGCAAUCUGCCCCUAGCUCUGGGAUAGCUCCGGGAAACCGGGAUUAAUACCAGAUACAACCACUUUAGACAUCUUUUGUGGUGGAAAGGAUUCCGGCUAGGGAUGAGCUCGCGGCCUAUCAGCUUGUUGGUUGGGGUAACGCCUACCAAGGCGACGACGGGUA
Molecule: ribosomal RNA, 254 nt
Filed under: uncultured bacterium
Lineage: Bacteria
Description: partial small subunit ribosomal RNA
Rfam family: Bacterial small subunit ribosomal RNA
Source: RNAcentral